CAGCAGCCAGCGCAAACAUCAUCUGCAACAUGGCGCUCCUGGGCACCUCCCUCAUGUUUGGGAGCAAGCAGCUGCAACCUGAGAGGAAGGUACGGCUGGAGUCCACCUACCAGCUCUCCUGCUGGACCCCCAGGCUCAAGGACAUCAUGGAGGUUCCAGUAACAUCCUGAUCCCCAAGUUCUUCCUGGAUGACGUCCAAACCUUCCACCAGCUGCCCCCCAAGGAGGCCUAGAAGCAGCCCCCUCCUCCCAGAGACUUUGCCCCCCACAGCUCGCUGCUCCAGCUACACCUGAUUUUCUCAACAAGGCA
Molecule: long non-coding RNA, 309 nt
Organism: Gopherus evgoodei (Goodes thornscrub tortoise)
Lineage: Eukaryota; Metazoa; Chordata; Testudines; Testudinidae
Exons: 3
Source: RefSeq, a predicted model, not a curated record